UACGAAGGGUGCUAGCGUUGUUCGGAAUUACUGGGCGUAAAGCGUGCGCAGGCGGCUUGACAAGUCAGGGGUGAAAUCCUGGGGCUUAACCCCAGAAUUGCCUUUGAAACUGUCUGGCUGGAGACCCGGAGGGGAUAGCGGAAUUCCUAAUGUAGCGGUGAAAUGCGUAGAUAUUAGGAGGAACACCAGUGGCGAAGGCGGCUAUCUGGACGGGUACUGACGCUCAUGCACGAAAGCGCGGGGAUCAAACAGG
This 253-nucleotide ribosomal RNA is filed under the name uncultured bacterium. RNAcentral describes it as "partial 16S ribosomal RNA". It matches the Rfam family "Bacterial small subunit ribosomal RNA", at positions 524 to 776 of the family's 1533-position model. The record is from RNAcentral.